AACGAACGCUGGCGGCAUGCCUAACACAUGCAAGUCGAACGAGACCUUCGGUUCUAGUUUCGCACGGGUGCGUAACGCGUGGGAACCUGCCCUUAGGUUCGGAAUAACUCCCCGAAAGGGGUGCUAAUACCGGAUAAUGUCUUCUGACCAAAGAUUUAUCGCCUUUGGAUGGGCCCGCGUUGGAUUAGCUAGUUGGUAGGGUAAAAGCCUACCAAGGCGACGAUCCAUAGCUGGUCUGAGAGGAGGAUCAGCCACACUGGGACUGAGGCACGGCCCAGACUACUACGGGAGGCAGCAGUGGGGAAUAUUGGACAAUGGGCGAAAGCCUGAUCCAGCAAUGCCGCGUGAGUGAUGAAGGCCUUAGGGUUGUAAAGCUGUUUUACCCGGGAUGAUAAUGACAGUACCGGGAGAAUAAGCGCCGGCUAACUCCGUG
This 433-nucleotide ribosomal RNA is filed under the name uncultured bacterium. RNAcentral describes it as "partial 16S ribosomal RNA". It matches the Rfam family "Bacterial small subunit ribosomal RNA", at positions 29 to 507 of the family's 1533-position model. The record is from RNAcentral.